This 22-nucleotide microRNA is filed under the name Python bivittatus (Burmese python). Its description in RNAcentral is "Pbv-Mir-92-P1d_3p (mature (guide))". Lineage: Eukaryota; Metazoa; Chordata; Lepidosauria; Squamata; Pythonidae. The record is from RNAcentral.
UAUUGCACUCGUCCUGGCCUCC